CAGCUCUCUGUCCCUUCCCUUCUCCAAAUGCUGCAAGAAGUGGGAUGUGAGCUCUCAAAUGUCACAGAAGCCUACAAAAUGCUGACUCCCGGAUGCCGUGCAUAACUGGGGUUGGCUCAGAACGUGGAGACAGGGCAACACCAUCAUCUGCUAAGAAUUCAUUGUUCUGCAGCUUGCCCUGGACACAAUGAGAGAGAGAGAAGUAUGGACAUUUAGACCUCAACUGGAGGCAUUGAUUGGAAGGAUUUCUCCCAGAGUUGGCCCACUCGGAAACCAGAAAAGUAUCUCUGGAAACAUACACCAACCAGUGCCAAAUGCCUGGGAGUCAGGAACAGCUCUACCUGCCAAGUCUUUCAAGUUUGAUUCGCUGCCAUCCAAAGUGAAAAUUAGGGAGCUGGCUCUCCUGAACUUUGGACUGGUGACAGAAGAAGCUAAGUGGACCCUGAAUUAGAGGUUAGAGGAGCCCAAGUUCUCUGGAACUCACUAGUCACAGGACACUGGGCAAAUCACAGAAUAUCUUGGUCUCCUCCUCAGUGAAAUGGGACAAUUGGAAAGUUAUGGAGAUAAAACAAGGUAAUGGGAACACUCAG
This 590-nucleotide long non-coding RNA is filed under the name Ictidomys tridecemlineatus (thirteen-lined ground squirrel). RNAcentral describes it as "lncRNA (ENSSTOG00000030175.1)". The record is from RNAcentral. Lineage: Eukaryota; Metazoa; Chordata; Mammalia; Rodentia; Sciuridae.